UGAGAGUUCAAGAGUACGUGAAACCGCUUAGUAGUAAACAGAGGGGCUCUCGAAGUCGGCGGUGACGGUUCAGGGUGACGGCGGGGCGGCCUGGGGGCUUGGGAUUAGCAAUAACCCUGUCCCUUUGUUGGCUCUGUCGGCGCCUGCACUUCGUUGCCGCCAUACGCGACGAACCGUUUUUGACGGACCGAGGGCGUGGGUGAAGUUUGCGGGCUUCGGCCUUCAAGCCCCGCGUUCCUGGCUCUGUCGGGGACGGGUAGUGGAGCGAUCUCUUAUAGAGAGUGUCCUUGUUGGCACGGUUCGCAUCUCUGUCGCGAGUAGGUCGGCGGCCCCUCUGACCCGUCUUGAAACACGGAC
This 357-nucleotide ribosomal RNA is filed under the name Oithona atlantica. RNAcentral's name for it is "partial 28S ribosomal RNA". The record is from RNAcentral. Lineage: Eukaryota; Metazoa; Arthropoda; Copepoda; Cyclopoida; Oithonidae.